Molecule: ribosomal RNA, 253 nt
Filed under: uncultured bacterium
Lineage: Bacteria
Description: partial 16S ribosomal RNA
Rfam family: Bacterial small subunit ribosomal RNA
Source: RNAcentral
AACGUAGGACGCAAGCGUUAUCCGGAGUUACUGGGCGUAAAGGGCGUGCAGGCGGCUUGAUAAGUUCGGCGUGAAAUUUCCCGGCUUAACCGGGGGAUGUCGUCGGAGACUGUCGAGCUAGAGGGUGAUAGAGGCGUGUGGAAUUCCGGGUGUAGUGGUGAAAUGCGUAGAGAUCCGGAGGAACACCAGUGGCGAAGGCGACACGCUGGGUCAUACCUGACGCUAAAACGCGACAGCAUGGGGAGCGAACGGG